Molecule: ribosomal RNA, 1495 nt
Filed under: Limosilactobacillus fermentum
Lineage: Bacteria; Bacillati; Bacillota; Bacilli; Lactobacillales; Lactobacillaceae
Description: bacterial SSU rRNA
Rfam family: Bacterial small subunit ribosomal RNA
Source: RNAcentral
GCUCAGGAUGAACGCCGGCGGUGUGCCUAAUACAUGCAAGUCGAACGCGUUGGCCCAAUUGAUUGAUGGUGCUUGCACCUGAUUGAUUUUGGUCGCCAACGAGUGGCGGACGGGUGAGUAACACGUAGGUAACCUGCCCAGAAGCGGGGGACAACAUUUGGAAACAGAUGCUAAUACCGCAUAACAGCGUUGUUCGCAUGAACAACGCUUAAAAGAUGGCUUCUCGCUAUCACUUCUGGAUGGACCUGCGGUGCAUUAGCUUGUUGGUGGGGUAACGGCCUACCAAGGCGAUGAUGCAUAGCCGAGUUGAGAGACUGAUCGGCCACAAUGGGACUGAGACACGGCCCAUACUCCUACGGGAGGCAGCAGUAGGGAAUCUUCCACAAUGGGCGCAAGCCUGAUGGAGCAACACCGCGUGAGUGAAGAAGGGUUUCGGCUCGUAAAGCUCUGUUGUUAAAGAAGAACACGUAUGAGAGUAACUGUUCAUACGUUGACGGUAUUUAACCAGAAAGUCACGGCUAACUACGUGCCAGCAGCCGCGGUAAUACGUAGGUGGCAAGCGUUAUCCGGAUUUAUUGGGCGUAAAGAGAGUGCAGGCGGUUUUCUAAGUCUGAUGUGAAAGCCUUCGGCUUAACCGGAGAAGUGCAUCGGAAACUGGAUAACUUGAGUGCAGAAGAGGGUAGUGGAACUCCAUGUGUAGCGGUGGAAUGCGUAGAUAUAUGGAAGAACACCAGUGGCGAAGGCGGCUACSUGGUCUGCAACUGACGCUGAGACUCGAAAGCAUGGGUAGCGAACAGGAUUAGAUACCCUGGUAGUCCAUGCCGUAAACGAUGAGUGCUAGGUGUUGGAGGGUUUCCGCCCUUCAGUGCCGGAGCUAACGCAUUAAGCACUCCGCCUGGGGAGUACGACCGCAAGGUUGAAACUCAAAGGAAUUGACGGGGGCCCGCACAAGCGGUGGAGCAUGUGGUUUAAUUCGAAGCUACGCGAAGAACCUUACCAGGUCUUGACAUCUUGCGCCAACCCUAGAGAUAGGGCGUUUCCUUCGGGAACGCAAUGACAGGUGGUGCAUGGUCGUCGUCAGCUCGUGUCGUGAGAUGUUGGGUUAAGUCCCGCAACGAGCGCAACCCUUGUUACUAGUUGCCAGCAUUAAGUUGGGCACUCUAGUGAGACUGCCGGUGACAAACCGGAGGAAGGUGGGGACGACGUCAGAUCAUCAUGCCCCUUAUGACCUGGGCUACACACGUGCUACAAUGGACGGUACAACGAGUCGCGAACUCGCGAGGGCAAGCAAAUCUCUUAAAACCGUUCUCAGUUCGGACUGCAGGCUGCAACUCGCCUGCACGAAGUCGGAAUCGCUAGUAAUCGCGGAUCAGCAUGCCGCGGUGAAUACGUUCCCGGGCCUUGUACACACCGCCCGUCACACCAUGAGAGUUUGUAACACCCAAAGUCGGUGGGGUAACCUUUUAGGAGCCAGCCGCCUAAGGUGGGACAGAUG